UAGUGUUGAGAUUAAUGUACUUAAUACUAGAUAUUUAUAGCAUAUAUAAUUUUUUUUAUAGUGAUAAACAGUUCAAAUUGAUUUCGCUUGCUUGUUGCAAGGUAUCACUUUGCCCAUGUCUGUGCAAGAGAUUCAGCUUUUGAUAGGUGUUCAAGUUAGGUAUGGUGUCAGGCUAUCAAAAAAUAGUAUUUUCUCUUGCCUUUCUUAACUGCAGUUAUUUUUUCAGCUAUCUUGUUCCAGUGUCUGUCCUUGGAAUCUCUAUUUGCAUCUUUCCCUUAAUUUAUAAUACUCUUGAAAUUGUAGAAUGAAAGCUGCUGAUGAAGCACAGUUACUAGUUCUGAAGUACCCACUUUGUUGUGUUUUGUUGUUUUCUGAUGUGGGUUAAUUUCUAAAUAAAGUGGGUUGUUGGAUAUUGAUAUGUAAAGUUGAAUAGAUUCCUAAAUGAUGGAAGCAUCUGAAAUGUGUGCACAGGAAAUCCGGCUUAAAGGAAAGAGUAGCAGGUCUGAACUUCUGAUAAGGCCUUCUGGUCAGUCAGGUGGUCUUCAGAAUGCCAUUUCUGUUCUAUUUCUGGUUUCCUUGGGAGUUUGCAGAAAAGGAAAGCUGUAUUCUCCUUCUAGUGAUAGCUUGGAAGUCUGAUGUUUUUAACCUUAGAUACAUUGAUGAGCUACAGUUCACGAUGCUGAAGAUAAAUAUGAAGGAUUGUUUUGUAAUUAUUGGCAUUCUGGUUAGAAUAUAUUUUCUGUGCGGGAAGUGCCUUUCCAUCUGUUCUUCUAAAACUGCAAAUCUGAACUAAGUGUGACUUCAGUCUUUCUUUGUAGUAGUGACAGCAAGUUGUAUGUGUAGAGGUUUCGUGCAAAGUGAAAUACAGAGCUAAAAAUAUCUUCUGAAGACUCAGUCUCUUCAUCAGCCGUCCUAGAGAAGCAAUAAAUUACAGAAACCUUGCUGGGUUGGUUAAAUUACCUGAUUCAGUAAGAGAAAUUGUUUCUCCUGUCUUGUGGCUGAAGUUAAAUGCUGGGAUGGAUACGGUUCAUCUGCCUUUGAAAUGACUGUUGGAUUGUUGAAGAUACGCCAAGAAGUUGAUUCUCCAGCAGAGUUACUAGGUUAAUGUUUGGGACAAUCUAUCAGAAUGGUUCUAUGGGCUCUUUUGAGAUGUCCUCAACAUAUAUCAUCUGUCAAGGUUAAGGCAUGUGACUACUCCAUUUCAAGUAGGUUCUGCAUACAAAAUGUUGCAGUUAGGAGGCUGGAAACUAAAUGUAGUUUUUUGUACUAGUAAUAUCUGGCUGCGUGACUUCAGUGCUGAGUUUGUAAGGGUGCACAACAGUGGAAGAAGACAGCAUUCUGGUCUUGAGUGGCUGCAUCUGUUGGAAGUCUCCCAUGACCUGGAAACUUCUUCAUGUCAGAAAUAAGUUACACAAUAUCAGUAUGUGCAUGAUGAAGACAAACAUUAUGUAGCAUUAAUCUGUCCCUGUUUUUCAGAUAGAUGGGAUUUAGUUGCCUUGAAGAGAUUUGGCAGUGAAUAAUUAAGUAUUUACAUGAAUUACUGGAUAGUUCAUGAACUUUGAGUCAAUAAUUCUUCAUUGUGUCCAUGAGACUCAUGUUUAUGAUGCAGUGUUUUUCGGAUUGUAGAGAGCUGCAGGCCUUCUGAAUCAGAUCCUCUAUUGAGCAGCCUUUCUGCUCCAGCAGAUAGUAAAACACGUUUGUAAUCUUGCGUCCGUAGCCAGCGUUGGUACUGUAGAACUAUGACUUGAUUUGUUUAGAACAUUUGAGAUUUUCGUUUAAAUAAAGGUCUCUUUCUCAGUGUUAGUGUAACCCUGCUGAUUCUGUGCUUUAUUGCAGAACUACCCAUGAGUUCUUGUUUGGUGCCCUUGCUGAACUUGUAGAUAAUGCCAGAGAUGCGGAUGCCACAAGAAUAGACAUUUAUACUGAGCACCGGGAAAACCUGCGAGGUGGAUUCAUGCUGUGUUUUUUGGAUGAUGGAGCAGGAAUGGAUUCAAAUGAAGCUGCCAGCGUUAUUCAGUUUGGUAAAUCAGCCAAGCGAUCGCCGGAGUCAACUCAAAUUGGGCAGUAUGGGAACGGCUUGAAAUCGUGGGUAUUAAUCACAGCCAGUCUCCUGAGAUUGUG
This is a non-coding RNA of Meleagris gallopavo (turkey), 2121 nucleotides long. NCBI's taxonomy places the organism in Eukaryota, Metazoa, Chordata, Aves, Galliformes, Phasianidae. The record is from RefSeq and is a predicted model, not a curated record.